UCUGUGAAGGUGCUGCAUGGUUGUCGUCAGCUCGUGCCGUGAGGUGUCGGCUUAAGUGCCAUAACGAGCGCAACCCUUGUUGUCAGUUACUAACAGGUUCCGCUGAGGACUCUGACAAGACUGCCAUCGUAAGAUGUGAGGAAGGUGGGGAUGACGUCAAAUCAGCACGGCCCUUACGUCCGGGGCUACACACGUGUUACAAUGGGGGGUACAGAGGGCCGCUACCACGCGAGUGGAUGCCAAUCCCCAAAACCUCUCUCAGUUCGGACUGGAGUCUGCAACCCGACUCCGCGAAGCUGGAUUCGCUAGUAAUCGCGCAUCAGCCACGGCGCGGUGAAUACGUUCCCGGGCCUUGUACACACCGCCCGUCAAGCCAUGGGAGCCGGGGGUACCUGAAGUGCGUAACCGCGAGGAGCGCCCUAGGGUAAAACUGGUGACUGGGGCUAAGUCGUAACAAGGUAGCCGUACCGGAAGGUGCGGCUGGAUCACCUC
RNAcentral lists this ribosomal RNA (492 nucleotides) under uncultured bacterium. RNAcentral's name for it is "bacterial SSU rRNA". It matches the Rfam family "Bacterial small subunit ribosomal RNA", at positions 1029 to 1529 of the family's 1533-position model. The record is from RNAcentral.